UUCCGGUUGAUCCCGCCGGACCUGACUGCUAUCGGAUUGAUACUAAGCCAUGCUAGUCUUUGUAGUAAUACAAGGCAUACGGCUCAGUAACGCGUAGUCAACCUACCCUAUGGACGGGGAUAAUCUCGGGAAACUGAGCAUAAUACCCGGCAGACCACUUAUCCUGGAAUGGUUAGUGGUUAAAAUGAUUCGUCGCCAUAGGAUGGGACUGCGGCCUAUCAGCUUGUUGGUGAGGUAAUGGCCCACCAAGGCGAUUACAGGUACGGGCUCUGAGAGGAGAGGCCCGGAGAUGGGUACUGAGACAAGGACCCAGGCCCUAUGGGGCGCAGCAGGCGAGAAAACUUUGCAAUGUGCGAAAGCACGACAAGGUUAAUCCGAGUGAUUUCUGCUAAAGGAAUCUUUUGUUAGUUCUAAAAAUACUAGUGAAUAAGGGGUGGGCAAGUUCUGGUGUCAGCCGCCGCGGUAAAACCAGCACCUCAAGUGGUCAGGAGGAUUAUUGGGCCUAAAGCAUCCGUAGCCUGUUCUAUAAGUUUGCGGUUAAAUCUAUACGCUCAACGUAUAGGCUGCCGUAAAUACUGUAGAACUAGGGAGUGGGAGAGGUAGACGGUACUCGAUAGGAAGGGGUAAAAUCCUUUGAUCUAUUGAUGACCACCUGUGGCGAAGGCGGUCUACCAGAACACGUUCGACGGUGAGGGAUGAAAGCUGGGGGAGCAAACCGGAUUAGAUACCCGGGUAGUCCCAGCUGUAAACGAUGCAGACUCGAUGAUGCAUUGGCAUAUAGCCAGUGCAGUGUCGCAGGGAAGCCGUUAAGUCUGCCGCCUGGGAAGUACGUACGCAAGUAUGAAACUUAAAGGAAUUGGCGGGGGAGCACCACAAGGGGUGAAGCCUGCGGUUCAAUUGGAGUCAACGCCGGG
This 914-nucleotide ribosomal RNA is filed under the name uncultured marine archaeon. Its description in RNAcentral is "bacterial SSU rRNA". It matches the Rfam family "Archaeal small subunit ribosomal RNA", at positions 1 to 922 of the family's 1478-position model. The record is from RNAcentral.